CCUACGGGGGGCAGCAGUGAGGAAUAUUGGUCAAUGGUCGGGAGACUGAACCAGCCAAGCCGCGUGAGGGAUGAAGGUACAGAGUAUCGUAAACCUCUUUUGUCAGGGAACAAAGGCGGGGACGUGUCCCCGGAUGAGUGUACCUGAAGAAAAAGCAUCGGCUAACUCCGUGCCAGCAGCCGCGGUAAUACGGAGGAUGCGAGCGUUAUCCGGAUUUAUUGGGUUUAAAGGGUGCGCAGGCGGUCUGUUAAGUCAGGUGGAAAAGCCCGGGGCUCAACCCCGGCCCGCCGUUGAAACUGUAGUUCUUGAGUACUGGAGAGGCAGACGGAAUGCCUAGUGUAGCGGUGAAAUGCGUAGAUAUUAGGAGGAACACCAGUGGCGAAGGCGGUCUGCUGGACAGCAACUGACGCUGAGGCGCGAAAGCGUGGGGAGCAAACAGGAUUAGAUACCCUAGUAGUC
Molecule: ribosomal RNA, 459 nt
Filed under: uncultured bacterium
Lineage: Bacteria
Description: partial 16S ribosomal RNA
Rfam family: Bacterial small subunit ribosomal RNA
Source: RNAcentral